Molecule: transfer RNA, 71 nt
Filed under: Nannocystis sp.
Lineage: Bacteria; Pseudomonadati; Myxococcota; Nannocystales; Nannocystaceae
Description: tRNA-Gly
Rfam family: tRNA
About the family: Transfer RNA (tRNA) molecules are approximately 80 nucleotides in length. Their secondary structure includes four short double-helical elements and three loops (D, anti-codon, and T loops).
Source: RNAcentral
GCGUGAGAAGUGUUGUGGUGGCAUGCCUUCCUGCCCAGGAGGAGGCGAGGGUUCGAUUCCCUCCGCGCGCU